Molecule: unclassified non-coding RNA, 391 nt
Filed under: soil metagenome
Description: partial contains 5.8S ribosomal RNA, internal transcribed spacer 2, and large subunit ribosomal RNA
Rfam family: 5.8S ribosomal RNA (bases 1-122)
Source: RNAcentral
GAUGAAGAACGUAGCGAAAUGCGAUACUUGGUGUGAAUUGCAGAAUCCCGUGAACCAUCGAGUCUUUGAACGCAAGUUGCGCCCGAAGCCAUUAGGCCGAGGGCACGCCUGCCUGGGCGUCACACGUCGUCGCCCCCCCAUCUACUCCUUCGGGAUUGCGGGGGGCGGAUGAUGGCCUCUCGUGCGCCUCGUCGCGCGGUUGGCCUAAAUGCCAAGUCCUCGGCGACGCACGCCACGACAAUCGGUGGUUGCGAAACCUCGGUUGCCUGUCGUGUGCGGUCGUCGCGCAUCGAGGGCUCGAAAAAAUUGCCGGGCUUCGGCUCGACUUUCAACGCGACCCCAGGUCAGGCGGGGUUACCCGCUGAAUUUAAGCAUAUCAAUAAGCGGAGGA